RNAcentral lists this ribosomal RNA (893 nucleotides) under Polypedates cf. leucomystax CWL-2010. RNAcentral's name for it is "partial 16S ribosomal RNA". It matches the Rfam family "Bacterial large subunit ribosomal RNA", at positions 1111 to 2606 of the family's 2925-position model. The record is from RNAcentral. Lineage: Eukaryota; Metazoa; Chordata; Amphibia; Anura; Rhacophoridae.
AGCAGCCACCUUUUAAAAAGCGUCAAAGCUUAACCUAAUCCCUCUAAAAUACCAUCAACCUUAAUGAACCCCUAAUUUAUAAUGAAUGACUCCAUAUAAAUAUGGAAGACACCAUGCUGGGAUAAGUAACAAGAAUUAAUAAUUCUCCAAAAUGCAAACAUACACCAACAUGGAUAAACCAUUGGUAAUUACCGAAUCUGAACUUACUGCAACAACACUCACAAGAAAACCAUGCAGUAUUUGCUCGUUAACCUAACACUAGUGCAUUUCAGGAAAGAUUUAAAAAAAGAGAAGGAAUUCGGCAAAUGAAAGCCCCGCCUGUUUACCAAAAACAUCGCCUCUUGAUUUAUGAUAAGAGGUCCAGCCUGCCCAGUGAAUUUUUAACGGCCGCGGUAUCCUAACCGCGCGAAGGUAGCAUAAUCACUUGUUCUUUAAAUGGGGACUCGUAUCAACGGCAUCACGAGGGUUUUACUGUCUCCUCUUUUUGAUCAGUGAAAUUGAUCUUCCCGUGAAGAAGCGGGAAUACUCAUAUAAGACGAGAAGACCCCAUGGAGCUUAAAACCAAAUAGUAACUUAACCACAUAUCUCCUUAUAACUUUAAGCCUGUACUAUGAGGUUUUUGGUUGGGGUGACCGCGGAGUAAAACAUAUCCUCCACGACGGAAAGACUACAAUCUUUAUUUAAGAACCACAAUUCUAAAAAUUAGUAUACUAACGUUUACUGACCCGAUAAUCGAUCAACGGAACAAGUUACCCUGGGGAUAACAGCGCAAUCUACUUCAAGAGCCCAUAUCGACAAGUAGGCUUACGACCUCGAUGUUGGAUCAGGGUAUCCCAGUGGUGCAGCCAUUACUGAAGGUUCGUUUGUUCAACGAUUAAAACCCUACGUGAUCU